RNAcentral lists this ribosomal RNA (434 nucleotides) under uncultured bacterium. RNAcentral describes it as "partial 16S ribosomal RNA". It matches the Rfam family "Bacterial small subunit ribosomal RNA", at positions 29 to 507 of the family's 1533-position model. The record is from RNAcentral.
AGCGAACGCUGGCGGCAGGCCUAACACAUGCAAGUCGAACGAACCUUUCGGGGUUAGUGGCGGACGGGUGAGUAACACGUGGGAACGUGCCUUUAGGUUCGGAAUAACUCAGGGAAACUUGUGCUAAUACCGAAUGUGCCCUUCGGGGGAAAGAUUAAUCGCCUUUAGAGCGGCCCGCGUCUGAUUAGCUAGUUGGUUGAGGUAAUGGCUCACCAAGGCGACGAUCAGUAGCUGGUCUGAGAGGAUGAUCAGCCACAUUGGGACUGAGACACGGCCCAAACUCCUACGGGAGGCAGCAGUGGGGAAUCUUGCGCAAUGGGCGAAAGCCUGACGCAGCCAUGCCGCGUGAAUGAUGAAGGUCUUAGGAUUGUAAAAUUCUUUCACCGGGGACGACAAUGACGGUACCCGGAGAAGAAGCCCCGGCUAACUUCGUG